CCGGACUCGAAAUUUGGACUCGGAAUACUCGGUUCUCGGAACUAGGAGCUGGCUGAUGUGGUGACCACGUUCGCGACCACGCAUACUUUUGGCAGCGCCGACAAGCUGGGCUUAAAUUGGAUUUCUAUUUGCCGUUGAUUGAAGUGAAACCGCACACAAUUGAAAUUGCUGCACGGAGGCGAAAAUCUUAUAUUUGUUUUGAAAAUAUUGUAAGGCAGUGUUCAUUUACUUAAUACGAUUUAAUUAUGAAAAUAAACAAUGAUGCACAUGUACAUUAAUUACACAGGGAAAGUUUUGUUAGACAGAAUCUGUAUUUUCCAUCGUUUUUUGUUAAUAAUAUGAUAUGAUAUGAUGCAAUCAACAAAAAAUGCAAUAAAUGGAAUGUUUAAUUCUGAUGACAA
Molecule: long non-coding RNA, 401 nt
Organism: Drosophila yakuba
Lineage: Eukaryota; Metazoa; Arthropoda; Insecta; Diptera; Drosophilidae
Exons: 2
Source: RefSeq, a predicted model, not a curated record